CCUACGGGUGGCAGCAGUAGGGAAUCUUCCACAAUGGACGAAAGCCUGAUGGAGCAACGCCGCGUGAGGGAAGAAGGGCUUCGGCUCGUAAAGCUCUGUUGGUAGUGAAGAAAGAUAGAGGUAGUAACUGGCCUUUAUUUGACGGUAAUUACUUAGAAAGUCACGGCUAACAACGUGCAGCACGCGCGGUAAUACGGAGGUGGCAAGCGUUGUCCGGAUUUAUUGGGCGUAAAGGGAGUGGAGGCGGUUCAAUAAGUCUGAUGUGAAAGCCUUCGGCUCAACCGGAGAAUUGCAUCAGAGACUGUUGAACGUGAGUGCAGAAGAGGAGAGUGGAACUCCAUGUGUAGCGGUGGAAUGCGUAGAUAUAUGGAAGAACACCAGUGGCGAAGGCGGCUCUCUGGUCUGCAACUGACGCUGAGGCUCGAAAGCAUGGGUAGCGAACAGGAUUAGAUACCCUAGUAGUC
This 464-nucleotide ribosomal RNA is filed under the name uncultured bacterium. RNAcentral describes it as "partial 16S ribosomal RNA". It matches the Rfam family "Bacterial small subunit ribosomal RNA", at positions 338 to 795 of the family's 1533-position model. The record is from RNAcentral.